GUAGGUGGCAAGCGUUGUCCGGAAUUAUUGGGCGUAAAGCGCGCGCAGGCGGUUCUUUAAGUCUGAUGUGAAAGCCCACGGCUCAACCGUGGAGGGUCACUGGAAACUGGAGAACUUGAGUACAGAAGAGGAAAGCGGAAUUCCACGUGUAGCGGUGAAAUGCGUAGAGAUGUGGAGGAACACCAGUGGCGAAGGCGGCUUUCUGGUCUGUAACUGACGCUGAGGCGCGAAAGCGUGGGGAGCAAACAGGGAUUAGAUACCCUGGUAGUCCACGCCGUAAACGAUGAGUGCUAAGUGUUAGGGGGUUUCCGCCCCCUUAGUGCUGCAGCUAACGCAUUAAGCACUCCGCCUGGGGAGUACGGCCGCAAGGCUG
Molecule: ribosomal RNA, 373 nt
Filed under: uncultured organism
Description: partial 16S ribosomal RNA
Rfam family: Bacterial small subunit ribosomal RNA
Source: RNAcentral